GGGAACUUCCUGCCAAGCGUGAGAACGCUGCGAACUUCCCGGAGGCCAAAAGUUGAGGGGGCUGAGCGGAGCGUGAUUGGGGAGGGGCGGGCCUGGGAGACCUUGGGCGCCUCCUCUGAAAGCCUCUUGGUAGGUAUCCGGUUGAUGGGUGACGUGUUUGGCCGGAAAGGGAGAGCAGCAGAUUGCCCCUCUGUUUUCUGAUAGUGAGGAUUUCUUUCCCAUGCACUGAGUCGGGGCCUCCAGAGCCGCAGUGCAGGGCAGUCGAGGGUCCGCUGCAGGGCGGAGGUCACAGCCGCGCAAGUCGUCAGUCUCCGGUGCAGGGCUGCCGCUGAGUCUUCAAGAGCGAGUUUUAUUAUGGACAGGCGUGUGUUUAUUCCUCCUCCUUUUUUCCUGCUUAUGUUUCUCUUGUCCACGGUGGGUGAGGUUCGUGGUAAUAAGGACUUGAUAAGUGUAUUAUGAGAUAACCACUGAAUGAAUUUGCACAAUAGACGUGCGUGCCCUUCAUCUGCCGCGUCAUUUACUUGCUUUCAAAGGACUUUAUUAUUCACCUGCCCAUUCAUUUUCACUUAGUCCCACUUAUCGUCAGCUUUUUAAAGAGGUGGAGUGAUUCCGUGUUACAGCAACCUACAGCCCAACAAAGCCUUCAGAUAUCUGCCUCCAGGAGUCCAACCCUCAUCCCUUUCCAAAGAACUGGUAGCGGAUAGGUGCCAGCAAUACCGACAUUUAUUGGCACAAUGCUUUGCACUUUUCAAAAGACCUGUUCACAGCUCAACGGAGAAAUAAAUAUGAGGGAAUAAACACAACCAAGACAGUCCUGGGAAUGCAAGGGCUAAACGCUCAAUCUGAGAACUGCCACUACCUAACUGGUUUGGGCAGCGUCUACUAAGUGGUAUUUCACUGUUGAGAGAGGUGAUAUAUUAGAAGUACGAAACUUCUAAUUUAUUCAUAAAAAAUAAAAUGGUAAAAAAUGGGAACCCUUAUCAAGGUUAAAAUAUCCUUAGGUCAUCUAAUCGAAACUGUUAAGUAUAAACAUUCUUAGAAAAUAACGUUUGCAUUGCCUCUCUCUUUUCAUCUCUUAGCACGAUAACAAAUGCAGAGUGAGUGGAAGAAUGAAAUGACUCUUCAAACAUCAGGAAGCAAAAAUAGUUUUUUGCUACUUAAAGGCUCCACCUAAUUAUCUCAGUUCUUUUCACUUUGUGUAUUCAAGCUACACAACUUUAUACAAUCGUUCUGCUGUUGAAACCCAUUUUAUUUUAAUCCUGAUCUGAGGAUAGAACAGGACUGAUCAGGAUGUUUUUAUCUCUAUUAGAACAAUUGUUUCCCAAGUCUGAACUUAACUUUGAAUUUAUCUUAACCAUGGAAAUGGUGAGAAUCACUUGAACUCAACAUGGUAUAUCUCUCAGUUGAGUUCUCAGAACAUAAGUCAUUUCAACAAUAUAUUUUAUUAUUUAUAAAAGGUGAAACAUUUUAAUAAUUAAAACCUUAUAGAACAAUGUAAAGAAUCUAGCCAGAAUUUUAUUUUCCCCCAAGUGCAUAAGCAAUUUAAGUAACACAUAGAAGUGUACCUUUUAUUCCUAUAGUGUUAUAUACCAAUGAGGAAACAGUAACUUUCUAAGGAUACAUUGUUGAAUUCUUUAUUAAUUCAAAACAUUUUAAGAAAGUCAGUGUAAUGCAUAUGCAUUUUACAAUAACAUCCAUAGGUUUCCACAAUCUAGUAAAAUGAAAACAGCUGUAUUUUGAUUUACUUUGAAAACUCAAACCUAUAGUUCGAGACUUCUGAAUAUUUUUACAUUACUGUCAUGCUCAAAUUCUGUUACAUGGUGAAAAUUCUAGCAUUUUCCAGAAGUAUAUUAUUGUACAUAGGUAAAAUGAUAAAAUUGAUUCUAGGAAGGGGGAAAAAAAAACCCAGAAAAACUUAAAUUGGAGGAAACAUAAUCUGGAUUAUCUAUUCAAUUUGUGAAUACCCACCGUUAUUCUGGCAUUGCAAAAUAACCAAGUGUGGUGCCUCUUAAGUUGCAUUCAUGCAUUCAAAACUUCUUUAUUGUCCACUGAUAAAUAUUGGUGGAGUACAAUAUAUGGAUAUAGAUUAAGUGUGAUGAACAUGGUAGUAAAAAAUUAUACACAUUCGAUAUGUAAUUUUACAAAACCAAACACAUUGAAUUCUUUUUAAUAUUUAGCAAACAUUUAAAAAUCAUAUACAAGAAAGGUGUUUAUGACAAAUCGGUUAAAGCUAGCGGGAAAUAGGUCUUUUACAUUAUUUCAAUAUUCAGUGUUCAUUGAUUAGUGGAGGGCAAUAUAAAAAUGCAAUAAGCAAAAUGGUUAGUUUAAAUUUAAAUUACCUCUUAUGACAAUUAGUAAGAUAAGAUCUUUAAUAUCCAAAGUAUGUGGAGGAUUAUUGUAAAUUGCGCAGACAGUUCAAGGGAAAAAUUCACUUUCACCUCUAUUAGGUGAAUAUUCAGGCUAAGACUUCUGGAGUUUUAUUUUUCCACUUCACUGUAUUUUCUUUAUAGCAUUUAUUAGUAAUCACUUAGUGGAACCUAAUAUUAGUGUUUAGAAUUUGUUUAGCUCAGUGUAAAUGUCCAGAAAAUUUACCUUCAAUAUAAUCUCUUUAAAAACGCAUUACUUUACAGUGGAGAAAUAUAAUAGAUGCUACCUCAGCUAAGUGAUCAAGGUUAACAUCAACAGCUAAGAGUAGCCUAAAGUUUGAGAAACUGUCACAGCUAAGACGAGUCCCGGUGAUGGCAUAUACCUUUGAUACCAUGUGAUGAGCAUGGCACUUUACCGUUGUGUUCUUUCAAAAACCAAAAACCUGUGUCUAGUCACGAGAAAAACAUCAGACGAAUCCCCAUAGAAGGACAUUCUACAAAAUACCAGUUUAUUUCUCAAAACUGUCAUCAAAAACAAGGAAAGUUGCAGAAACUGUCACAGCCAAGGGAAGCCUAAGGAAACAUGACAACUAAAUGUAAUGUGGUAUCCUGAAUGGGAUCCUGGGACAGAAAAAGGACAUUAGGUUAUAAACUAAGGAAAUCUGAAUGAAGUAUGAAUGUAAUGAUCAAUAUUGGCUCAUUAAUGCCCAUAGAUGUAUAUGGGACCUCUCUAUUUGGAGUUUUUCUGUAAAUCUAAAACUACUCUAAAAUAAAAGGUUUAAUGGACACAUUACUAUUUUAAAUUUUAUACAUUUUAUUUUUUUCUUAGAGUCAGGGUCUCACUUUGUUGCAUAGACAUGUCUGGAACUCCUGGGCUCAAGUGAUCCUCACGCCUUAGUCUCCCAAAGUGCUGGGAUUGUAUGCGUGAGCCACCGUGCCUGGCCCAUUACCACCUUUUAUUAAGUUUUUAUUUUCAUUGUAAAAUUGUUAAAGAAAAUCAUACCACCUUAAUAUUAAAAAGAGUGUUUUCUAAUUGUCAAUCUCUUAUAACUUAGUCUUAGCCCUAUAACUCAUUUAUAUAUUUAGCAAGUAAUUUGAUAUUAUUUCUGUCCUUGGGAAUGUUGUUUUAUUUCCUUUGGAAAUAAAACUUUCAAAUGAUUGAUCUUAUUUAAACUUUAAUUUUAACCUAUAAUUGUAUAUCCAUUUAUCAUCUAUCUAUCAUCUAUCUAUCAAUCAUCUAUCUAUCUAUGUCAUUGAAAGAAACAUUUCUAUAGAUUUGAGGUGAUGGUGAACUGAAAGUACUGAUUUGGGAUCACAUUAUUGAGAAAAGCAGUAACACUGAUAUAGUGUUCCAUCUUAAAACAUGAUUGUAUGUUUUGAUGAGUAGCUAAAUCAGAUGUUUAACGUAUGUUUUGGAAAAAAAUAGGGGAAAGUGCAUUAAAGUGACAUUUAAUACAAGUAUACAAUAACAAUUAUUGACGUGAUGCACUUUGAUAAAAUAAUAAUGUAUGCCACACUUUAUUCUUUCCACGUUUGUUUUAUUUAAUGCUCAUAGUUAUCCUGAUAAUUACGUAUUUUAUUUGUCAUUUGCAGAUGAGGAAAUGAACUCAGAGAAGAUAAAUGAUUUGCCCAAAGUCACAUGAGACAGAAAUAUAACUUGAAAUCAAAUUUGUAAUUUUAAGUUCCUGAUGUUUUUACACUAUGCUCCCUAAGUGAAUCUGUGGACAUACAUUUCCAUUAGUAACCUUACUCAUCUUAUAGCUUUUGUCAUAGGAAGAAAAUCAGUUCCCAAACUGGGACCUUCUAUCACCUAGGGCAACAUUUUGCCUUUUGUAGUGUUUUCAGUAGAGUCAAAGUCUUGAACAGCCUCUUGAAUUCAUCUGAAAAGAUGUUACUUGGGGCUGGAGAGGACUACACCUGUAAGAGUAAUAAUUUCAAAAAUACCUAUAAAUAAAUCAAAUCUGGGUAUUCAGAAAUAAUACUUGUCAUUGUGCACCAUCUUGUGUUGCAAGGAUAUUUUAAGCACUGCAGGGAAAAUCUGAAGCAAGUUUUGGGUUAUCAGUUUUAUUGAUAAAUAUUUGCAGUUGUAGCAAGUGAAGAAUUAAAAAUUUUUGCAGAUUGGAUAUUGUUUUUGCAGGAGAACAAACCCAUUGGUCAGAAAUUUGAAGAUGGAAAACACAAAAAUACAUGUUUGAAAAAUAUACUUAGAAAAUUAUGGUUGUAAACUGUCAAUGUAAACAGAUAGGCGAAAAUAUUUUUUGGAAAUAUCUUUACCAUCUUUCAAAAUAAUUAGGCAAUGUGUCAAGAUCAAAGUAUUCAAAAUACAUGUUUGAUAGGCUUCUAUCUAUAGGCAUUUUCUGUCUAAGACUUAAAAAUAUUAUUAUUAUAAUUAUUAUUAUUAUUUUGAGAUGGAGUCACUCUGUUGCCAAGGCUGGAGUGCAGUGGCAUGAUAUCAGCUCACUGCGACCUCUGCCUCCUGGGUUCAAGCGAUUCUCCUGCCUCAGCCUCUCAAGUAGCCGGGAUUAAAGGCACCCACCACCAUGCCCGGCUAAUUUUGUAUUUUUACUAGAGUCGGGGUUUCACCAUGUUGGCCAGUCUGGUCUCAAACUCCUGAGCUCAAGUGAUCCGCCCUCUUUGGCUUCCCAAAGUGCUGGGAUUACAGGCUUGAGCCACUGUGCCUGGCCAAGAAAUUUUAGGUGGUUUUCAAAUACGUUUUAUUUUUGACUUUUUUGAUUGUAUUUUAAAUUCCUUCUCUUUUACAUUUCAACACCAAAGCAUCUAAUAAUUGGUAUUUUUUGAGAUAUAAUUUGUCACAAUUACAAUAUGAUUUUUUAAAGUAUAAAUAAGUUAAAGGUAUAGAAAAAUGGAUAAACUCAAAAGUAAAAAUCAGGCAUUAUUUUAAAUUAGCUUAAUGGGAUGAAAAUGUAUUUUUGCUCCUAAUAAAUAAAUAUUAUUCACUUAUCCCUAUAGUCCUUUGGCAAAACUGAACUAUCAGGUAGAUAAACAACACGUAUUUCAUUCUGUAAGUCAGAACCUAGGCAGCAUUAAAGGAUACUAAUAAACAUCCAUGCACUAAGACGGCAUAUCAGAACUGGUCAUUCUAUGUACAUAUUUUAAGAUUUCAAAAAAAAAAAACAUCACAUUAUGGUCUUGACUUCUGCAUUUCGUAACUUUAGUAUCAAAGUUGUGUUUUGCUCUUGUUGUUCAUGUGCACACUCCAACACUGUCAGAGCAUCUCUACUACCUUUGGAUAACAUCAUAACAGCCCGAGUAAAGAAGUGCCAUCCAUCCAUUACUGGUGUGAUUAAUGUACAAGAUCAAUCUCUGAAGAAAUCUGGCUCUCCAAUUUAUUUAUAUAUACAUAAUCUGUAUCCUCUACUUUCUUUUAUAGAUACAUCUAAAGUUAGGCACUAUAGAAAGUGCAUUAAUCUCUUUCUGUGUGCAUCAGCAAAUUCUAAUAGUAUACAAAGAUACCUUGGCAAUUGAAAACACAAAGUGUCCAUUUUAAAGUGCUAAUUUUUCCCCAGGGAGGAAUUUACUCACUAGGAAAACUCAAAUUCUAAGAAAACAAAUAUUGUGCUCUUGGAAUGGUAGCAUAGACACCAGUUGAAGGCUCUUUUGUUUAUUUAUAAUAGCUCUGUAACUUAAACAGAAGGAAUUAUAUCAUACUUAGAAAAUUAGUAGAGUUGCAAAUAUACAGACAUACUCUUAAAUGAGAAACCCUCCCCUCACCCAAAAAUACGAGUUUAGCACAGAAAUGCUCACAUAGCAUGGUUAUCAACAUCUGAUGUGUAAAUCUGCUCUCGAAUCUUUUUUAACUCAACUUCCUCAUCAGGUUUCAAAAGGAUAUACCAACUUUAAAAUCUGUGUUCUACAAAUGCCCAGGUUAGAGAUUAGGACUCUUUAUAACGGCCCUUAUCUUUUACAUUUGGUAAAAUAUUAAAGAUAUUGUCAAACAGACAAUUCAUCUAAUAGUCCAAAGUAUCUUAUAAAGAUAACUUAUGACUAGCAGGUCACCAUCAUAUAUAGUAACAACGAGAAUAUAAAGUCUACAUUUAAAAAGAUGGAUGCAUGCAGUGUAUCACAGUAUAUUACAUAUUUUCUAGUCAUGUGCACCAAUUUGUUGAGCCUCACACACAGAAACAAAUAUGAUACUACACCAUACAUGUGUAUAUAUCAUAGUAGCAUAAUAAACUCAAUUCUAAGCAAGAAAAAAAUUAAAUAAUUUAGGAACAAUAGAACUUCACAAUAGAAGUGAUGAUUCUUUUAGGUUUUUCUUUACUCUUUAGGAAAAAAUAUGACUUUUUGUAAACAUCUUCAUAGCUAUCUUUUUUUCAACAUAUUACUGAAAACUUAUUCAAAUAGUAUUUAAAUGACAUGAAUAAAAUAUGUCUUAACACACUAACACUUUCAGAAAACACAGGCAUUUGUUAAAAGAAAUGAUUAUUAUAAAUAUUUUCUAUCUUGCAUUUUAACUGCAUUUUCAUAAAUAACGUAUUUAAAAGUGCUGAAUAUGGUAGGAUAGUCAGCAACGCCAGUGUAAACAGAAUAUUUUGUUUUCUACUCUGCAAUUUUUAAAAAAUCCCAUUUUGUCAAACACUGCAACAGUUAAAAUAUUUGCAUAGGGAAUAGAUAAUAGCCCUUUUAUUCAUGUCUCCUGAAUUCUAUAUAAAUUAGAAAAUCAUACUUGCUUAAAAAAACCAUUUUUGAAAUGUUUUAAGUUUAUGGAAAAAGAAACUUGUGAUGCCAACCUUUCAAGUAAAAUAAAUUUAAAAAGAAACCCCCAAACUUGUUUUUUUAAAAAAUAUGUUUAAUAAAUUAAAAAAUGAGAGGUAGUUAAAAAAAUGACAAAGAAAACCUGUAACUGUAAUAUCAUCCUUAAUAUAAGGCCAGUGUUCUCAGUGGAUAUAAAUCUUUUUAAAACUUUCAUUUUAGGUUACUCAGUAUUAUAUUCAUUCAGUUUAAUAUUAAAAAAAUAGUCUUCAGGGGAUAUUAAUAUUCAAAUGUAACACUUUGAUAUAAAUAUGACACUGAUUAUUUUAAUUAUCACUUUUAUGCAUGACAGAAUAUUGUUUCCUUGAAGGUCAGAAGUACAUGACAAUGUCAGGCAAGUGUUUUGUCGUAAAGAUUUAGUGUACUUAUAAAAAAUAAUAUGGCAGCUGGAAGAUUUGAGCACUGUACUGCCUUUUAAUGAUGGAUGAAAACUAAUAGUUUGGUUUAAACAUCUUUAAAAUGUCAUCCUUAAGAUAUUAUGUGAAAACAGUUAAGGUCUGAAG
RNAcentral lists this long non-coding RNA (7642 nucleotides) under Homo sapiens (human). Its description in RNAcentral is "non-protein coding lnc-VIP-4:5". The record is from RNAcentral. Lineage: Eukaryota; Metazoa; Chordata; Mammalia; Primates; Hominidae.